UCCAAGGAUAAGGGGCUUCACUUUUCCCAAGUAGGGGAAAGAGAAGGGGUCUACAGGGCUAGGGGUGGAGGGAGCGGAUGCAGUGAGCAGCCUCCGCAGAGAAAUUGACAAUUUAACCAGGGACCUGCGGCAGAGACAAGGCGGAGACACUCCCUUGCCCAGGAAAGCCGCCGGAGUCCGGCUUGUACCUGGGGAAGAAUCCUUAAGACGGUCUGGCCCAACACUCCUUUGCUCACAGAGAAAGGGGAGAAGACUCCCGAGGGUGAAAAUGGUACAUUCGGAGCUGGAACUCAGCUCACUGACCCCAAGCAGUGUUCCCUUCUUUUCGCCAGGUUUGCAUCCAAGAGAGGGGAGGACAGGGGCAAAAGGAUGCAGGGAGGCUGCUGAUUUCCACUGAAGAGCUAAUUUCCUGUGAGACAUUAACAGUGAUUUAAGAAAAAGAUUCCUGUAACUGUAAUGUCUUACAAUAACAGAAUGCAGGAGAGCACAUAUCAAUGAAGAAAAGACAAAAUGUACUUAUCCAUGAAGCUGAGGUUAAGAAACCAGUGUCUUCAAGAGCCAGGGACAGCACUGGGUCUGUGCAGAGUUGAGAGAUGGUGAUGACAUGUGGUUUCCAGCAUUCCUCGCCCAGUCCAGGGACACUGUGGGUGUGCCCAGCUUAAGUCCAGUCCAGUAAC
RNAcentral lists this small RNA (677 nucleotides) under Pan troglodytes (chimpanzee). RNAcentral's name for it is "retained intron". Lineage: Eukaryota; Metazoa; Chordata; Mammalia; Primates; Hominidae. The record is from RNAcentral.